Xyrichtys novacula (pearly razorfish) is the source of this 151-nucleotide non-coding RNA. NCBI's taxonomy places the organism in Eukaryota, Metazoa, Chordata, Actinopteri, Labriformes, Labridae. The record is from the annotation of a GenBank genome assembly.
ACACACACACACACACACACACACACACAGCGCAAGAGACGCAGGGAGGGAAAAAGCCCUGAGAUCCCACCAUUCUUUCACUGAGAUAAUCUGCAGGAAAGGUGCGACAAGCACAAGGUGUGCAGGAGUGUGUGUGCGUGUGUGUGUGUGU